RNAcentral lists this small RNA (825 nucleotides) under Pan troglodytes (chimpanzee). Its description in RNAcentral is "processed transcript". Lineage: Eukaryota; Metazoa; Chordata; Mammalia; Primates; Hominidae. The record is from RNAcentral.
UCAGUCACUAUGAGACACCUGGGAAAACUGCCCCACCUUGUGGCUCCACUGCCUGAUGACUGAACUGACUCCAGGCUUGACCUCUGGUCUCCCCUGUGUUAUUUCUGCUGAAGUACCCAGUCCCAGGCCAGGCUUUCCAGUACCCAAAGGGUUUUAAGGACAAUGGGAAGUUCCAUCAUCCAUCUCUAGGAUGUCCUUGGCAAGGGAAGCUGAAGAGAAACAUACCUUGGGGGGCAAAGUAAGACUGAAAACUAAGAAGAUUCCCAGCACUGCAUGCUCCAAGUAGGACCAAAGAUGGAGACUCCCAAGCCCUCCAUCUCCAGCAGCAACUUAAACCCCAGGGAGGCGAUGGAGAGCUGUGAGUAUUAACCUGUUGAUCCUGAGACUGCCAGGACGCAAGCUACCAGUGGUGGAUGAAUGGUCAGAGCCUCCUAUGACUCAUAGGUUGCAGCUGUCCGAAACCAACAGACCCUCUCUCUAUUGGUGUCACAAAGUAUACUGCAGGACCCUAUGAAUGUGAAAUACGGAACUCAGUGAGUGCCAGCCGCAGUGACCCUUCACCCUGAAUCUCUCCAUGGUCCAGACCUCCCAGAAUUUCCCUUCAUCACCUUUACCGUUCAGGAGAAAACCUCGACUUGUCCUGCUUCGCGGACUCUAACCCACCCGGCACAGUAUUCUUGGACAAUUAAUGGGAAGUUUCAGCUAUCAGGACAAAAGCUCUUUAUCCCCCAAAUUACUACAAAGCAUAGAGGGCUCUAUGCUUGCUCUGUUCGUAACUCAGCCACUGGCGAGGAAAGCUCAACAUCCUGACAGUCAGAGUCUCUG